RNAcentral lists this ribosomal RNA (107 nucleotides) under Erinaceus europaeus (western European hedgehog). Lineage: Eukaryota; Metazoa; Chordata; Mammalia; Eulipotyphla; Erinaceidae. The record is from RNAcentral.
GUCUACGGCCAUACCACCCUGAACACGCCCGAUCUCGUCUGAUCUCGGAAGCUAAGCAGGGUCGGACCUGGUUAGUACUUGGAUGGGAGAAUAUCGACUUGUGAUCU